UCCUUGGUGGCUCAGCUGGUAAAGAAUCUGCCUGCAGUGCAGGAAACCUGGGUUUGAUUCCUGGCUUGGGAA
This 72-nucleotide transfer RNA is filed under the name Ovis aries (sheep). It matches the Rfam family "tRNA". Rfam says of the family: Transfer RNA (tRNA) molecules are approximately 80 nucleotides in length. The record is from Rfam by way of RNAcentral. Lineage: Eukaryota; Metazoa; Chordata; Mammalia; Artiodactyla; Bovidae.